RNAcentral lists this ribosomal RNA (212 nucleotides) under Proctolaelaps sp. POD0ME403. Its description in RNAcentral is "partial large subunit ribosomal RNA". RNAcentral also lists the same sequence under 1 other name. Lineage: Eukaryota; Metazoa; Arthropoda; Arachnida; Mesostigmata; Ascidae. The record is from RNAcentral.
GGGACAAGAAGACCCUAUGAAUUUUUAAAAGAUAUUUUUAAUUAUUGAUUUUUAGUUAUUAAAAAUAUUUUUUUGAUUGGGGCGAUAAAAAAAUAAUAAUUAACUUUUGAUAGAUUCUUUUUUUAGAUUUAAAGAAAAAAAUACUCUAGGGAUAACAGCGUUAUUAUUUUGGAGAGUUCUUAUUGAUAAAAUAGUUUACGACCUCGAUGUUG